GAAGGGAAAGAGAAGCGUCGCUCGACCUGUGGACGCGUCACAUAAUCUUCGCUGGACGAUUUUAGUUUUGACAUCGAUGUGGCUGCAUCUUUCUUCCGGAGUGGUAAUACCAGUACCACUUUGAGUCGACGACCAUUCGGCUCAAGCUCAUCAACCGGCGCCCGAUCAAGCGCAGUUCCAUCCCAUCCAGAGCCUUUACGAGAAGAUUCUAUUAGAAAUCGGGAGAACCUGGUGGUCUCAAACCGAGAAAUUCGACAGUUGUUCGACACAAUCAAAGAACUGGGGGAUAUAGUAAAGCGGCAAAAUGCCAAACUAGACAGUUUGAGCGUGGAACUGGAAAACGCUUGUAAAGAAGUGGCUGAGGUGAAGACCGAACUACAGACUGUACGACACAAGCUCGAUCGCCAACCUCAGUCGACUGAGAAGGAGAAUAUCCACCGUGGGCCUGUUCCAAAGCAACUAAAGGGUGAUGUGCACUUGUUGCACAACAAACAAGAAGUUGAACUUUAGUUUUGUGGAAGUGAAGGCAUUGAUAGUGCCCACAACAGUGCUGUUCGAGGAUUUCUUUGUAAGGAACUGGAAAAGGAAGACAAUGGCUAUGAAAAGUCAACUAUCAAGUGUGCUGUGUCAAGAUAUUAUGAAACGAAAAGACAACAAUACCUCGACAAUCUACCUGACAGAAGAAAUAAAGCAGAGAAGACUGCUCUGCAACAAAUUGAUGCAAAUUUCAUGAGUGGCAAGGAGAAUGGUGAGGGCAGUCAAGAGGAUGUGUGGGUUGUGAGGUCACCACUGUGGCGUAGUCCACAGCUAUCUCCUCUCUUAAAGAGACUUCAGGAGAAAAUUGACAACCAGCCAUCUGCCUCCUCAAGCUCACAUCCACAAAAUAAAAGAGUAGAGGGAGAGCCAUCCACACACAGUCCACCAACUUCCUCACCUGCAUUGGCACUCCUUCCUGGUGAUAGACAGAGCCCUGAGAGGUGUCCUUCUCCAAAUAGGAUUCCUCCCUCCCCACAGUCCCCACAACAUUGCAGUGGUGAUGAAAGCGAUGGGGAACCCUUGCAUAUGUUGGACACCAGCCCUGUCACAAUCCGAAGGAGGCCAAACAGAUGGCUACAGUCACUGUGGGACUAAAUUAAUGCCUAAGUGUUCUUUAUUUACAUAACUUGUAUGUUUUGCCUUCUGUUUUUAAUUCAGUUCAUUUGACAGAAUGGCAAGGUGGUUUAUGGGGAUUAGGGUGAAUGGUUCCUUUUUAACCCCAACUCACGAAAUGUUUUUUUUUUGCAUAUUGCAUUAGCUGGUUUCACAAACUGAAAAAUUAACAAAUGAUGCCACUUUCUCACUCUCUCUCUCAUCUUGAUUGGAACAUAAUCUGCCAGCUAUUGCAAACAGUUCAAAAAUCUGUGGGAAGAAUCCUUAAAUAAUAUAGAAUUUUGCAGUGAUCAACUCCAUUUAUUGUUGAAGUAGUAUCAGAUGUACUGAAGACCUUUGUAAAGAAUGCUACAGUUUUGGAUAUGCCACAGUUAAUUUUAUUGGAAUGAUUUCAAACAAGCUUCUUGAAUUAUUGUGCUCUUCAAACAACUUUUAUGUUUAAGAAUUGGCUUUAAAAAGGCACUUUCCAGCUCAGUAAAUAACCAGGGGCCACUAAGUUGUUAACAUGGUAUGACUUGCUUAGAAUUUAUUGUAGUUUUUGAUAAAAUUUUAUUACUCUCUAAUAUUAGAGUAUAGACAUUUCUUAUUGUUAUUCUUGUCUUCAUAUCUGACUGAUGGAAAAAUGUCUUUUUAUCAUACUAAAAUUAUUGUCGUGGUGUAAUGAUUUAUGUAAAUAUUGAAAAUGUUGCUUUCAUCCAUGUCAAGCAUUAAGCACUUUUAGCUUAGUAUAUUUAAUUAUUACACACAAUCUAAAUUUUUUCCCUUUUUGUGCAUAAUGUUAGACUUAGUUGUUAGUCAUCACAUGAUGAAAUAGAUUCUGUAAAUUGGCCAU
Pocillopora verrucosa is the source of this 1981-nucleotide non-coding RNA. NCBI's taxonomy places the organism in Eukaryota, Metazoa, Cnidaria, Anthozoa, Scleractinia, Pocilloporidae. The record is from RefSeq and is a predicted model, not a curated record.